GAUGAACGCUGGCGGCGUGCCUAAUACAUGCAAGUCGAGCGAACAGACGAGGAGCUUGCUCCUCUGACGUUAGCGGCGGACGGGUGAGUAACACGUGGAUAACCAACCUAUAAGACUGGGAUAACUUCGGGAAACCGGAGCUAAUACCGGAUAAUAUAUUGAACCGCAUGGUUCAAUAGUGAAAGACGGUUUUGCUGUCACUUAUAGAUGGAUCCGCGCCGCAUUAGCUAGUUGGUAAGGUAACGGCUUACCAAGGCAACGAUGCGUAGCCGACCUGAGAGGGUGAUCGGCCACCAUGGAACUGCGACACGGUCCAGACUCCUACGGGAGGCAGCAGUAGGGAAUCUUCCGCAAUGGGCGAAAGCCUGACGGAGCAACGCCGCGUGAGUGAUGAAGGUCUUCGGAUCGUAAAACUCUGUUAUUAGGGAAGAACAAAUGUGUAAGUAACUAUGCACGUCUUGACGGUACCUAAUCAGAAAGCCACGGCUAACUACGUG
This 497-nucleotide ribosomal RNA is filed under the name uncultured bacterium. RNAcentral describes it as "partial 16S ribosomal RNA". It matches the Rfam family "Bacterial small subunit ribosomal RNA", at positions 28 to 507 of the family's 1533-position model. The record is from RNAcentral.